UGGGGAUAUUGGACAAUGGGGGAGACCCUGAUCCAGCGACGCCGCGUGAGUGAAGAAGUAUCUCGGUAUGUAAAGCUCUAUCAGCAGGGAAGAAAGAAAUGACGGUACCUGAGUAAGAAGCCCGGCUAACUACGUGCCAGCAGCCGCGGUAAUACGUAGGGGCAGGCAGUAUCGAUUGAUCUGGGUGUAAAGGGAGCGUAGACGGACUGGCAAGUCUGAUGUGAAAACCCGGGGCUCAACCCGGACGUGCAUUGGAAACUGUCAGUCUAGAGUGUCGGAGGGGUAAGUGGAAUUCCUAGUGUAGCGGUGAAAUGCGUAGAUAUUAGGAGGAACACCAGUGGCGAAGGCGGCUUACUGGACGGUAACUGACGUUGAGGCUCGAAAGCGUGGGGAGCAAACAGGAUUAGAUACC
This 412-nucleotide ribosomal RNA is filed under the name uncultured bacterium. RNAcentral describes it as "bacterial SSU rRNA". It matches the Rfam family "Bacterial small subunit ribosomal RNA", at positions 356 to 786 of the family's 1533-position model. The record is from RNAcentral.